ACCGAGACCGAACCGACCUAACGCCUGUGCCUGUGCGUGCGCGCGCGCGCGUACAUUCGGGCAGAGGCGACAGGAAGCAGUACCCGCCCACCUACCUCCUCCGCGUAGGAGGAAGCCAGGUGUCCUUCGUGUCCCAAGAGCAAAGGAAUAAACACAUGAUCCAGGAGGAAGCAGGGAAAGUAAUUUUAAUACAGAAAGAAGAGGCAGAACAGAAAAAAGCAGGACAGGACACUGAGCAGAGGGAAAAAGACAAGUAA
RNAcentral lists this long non-coding RNA (257 nucleotides) under Fukomys damarensis (Damara mole-rat). RNAcentral's name for it is "lncRNA (ENSFDAG00000028353.1)". The record is from RNAcentral. Lineage: Eukaryota; Metazoa; Chordata; Mammalia; Rodentia; Bathyergidae.